Molecule: ribosomal RNA, 450 nt
Filed under: uncultured bacterium
Lineage: Bacteria
Description: partial 16S ribosomal RNA
Rfam family: Bacterial small subunit ribosomal RNA
Source: RNAcentral
CCAGACUCCUACGGGAGGCAGCAGUGGGGGAUAUUGCACAAUGGGGGGAACCCUGAUGCAGCAACGCCGCGUGAAGGAAGAAGGGUUUCGGCUCGUAAACUUCUAUCAACAGGGACGAAAGAAAUGACGGUACCUGAAUAAGAAGCCCCGGCUAACUACGUGCCAGCAGCCGCGGUAAUACGUAGGGUGCGAGCGUUAAUCGGAAUUACUGGGCGUAAAGCGCUCGUAGGCGGUAUGUCAAGUCAAGGGUGAAAUCCCCGCGCUCAACGUGGGAACUGCCUUUGAAACUGGCAAACUGGAGUGUGUGAGAGGAUAGUGGAAUUCCAGGUGUAGGAGUGAAAUCCGUAGAUAUCUGGAGGAACAUCAGUGGCGAAGGCGACUAUCUGGCACAUAACUGACGCUGAGGAGCGAAAGCGUGGGUAGCAAACAGGAUUAGAUACCCCCGUAGUC